AGUGAACGCUGGCGGUAUGCCUAACACAUGCAAGUCGAACGGCAGCACAUUAAUAGCUUGCUCUUACGGGUGGCGAGUGGCGGACGGGUGAGGAAUACAUCGGAAUCUACUUUUUCGUGGGGCAUAACGUAGGGAAACUUACGCUAAUACCUCAUACCACCUACGGGGGAAAGCAGGGGAUUUUCCGACCUUGCGCGAUUGAAUGAGCGUAUGUCGGGUUAGCUAGUCGGCGGGGUAAAGGCCUACCAAGGCGACGAUACCUACCUGGUAUGCAAUGAUGAUCAGCCACACUGGAAGUAAGACACGGUCCAGAAUCCUACGCGAGGCCCUAGACGGGAAUAUUAGCCAAAGGGCGGAAACCUGACACAGCAAUACCACGUGAGUGAAGAAGGAGUGCAGUUUGUAAAGACGAUUUGUUGGGAAAGAAAAGCAGGAGGUUAAUACCACGCUGUUCUGACGGUACCAAAUGAAUAAGCACCGGCUAACUCCGUG
This 492-nucleotide ribosomal RNA is filed under the name uncultured bacterium. RNAcentral's name for it is "partial 16S ribosomal RNA". It matches the Rfam family "Bacterial small subunit ribosomal RNA", at positions 29 to 507 of the family's 1533-position model. The record is from RNAcentral.